This is a non-coding RNA of Cherax quadricarinatus, 815 nucleotides long. The record is from RefSeq and is a predicted model, not a curated record. Lineage: Eukaryota; Metazoa; Arthropoda; Malacostraca; Decapoda; Parastacidae.
GGAGGGAAAAUACUAGUGGGUGUGUAGAUGUGUCAAAAUAUUGACGAAUGCGUAGGCCGCAGGGUGCUGCCUACAGGGUGCUGGGACAAACAGUCAGGCUAAUCCACCAGUCAGCCGAGAAGGGAAGAAGGGAGCACAACUUUCUGCAGAGGUCACGGGUAAAGUUCAGAUGUGCGUCAGGGGACGGAGGAUCGAGCCUCGUCCAGUACUACCAGACUCUGAAUGAAGAGUGCGAGAUGAUCACUUUUCGGGAAUAGAUGUGUGGUUGAGAUACGAGAGGGAGAAAGGAUGCUGAAAUGUUUGCUGGGAUCAGAAACUGAGAAGUGGCGCUGCUGAGAUGUGAUGCUGAGAGAGCAUGCUACGAGGUGAUGCUGAGAUGUGCUGAGACGCGAUGCGAAGAUUUGCUGGGAUGUGAUGGUGAGAUGUGAUGCUGGCUGCUGAUCUCGUCUCCAGCGUCUACACCCACUCCAACAGCAUAAGGCACAGAGAAGCUUCUGGGAGGAAGACUGGUUGUUAAUGUUGAAGAAUGUAAGGGUGGUGUUGUGACCCCCUUGUGGUGGUGACCCCGUGUAACACCUUGCGGUGGUGACCCCGUGUAACACAUUGCGGUGGUGACCCCGUGUAACACCUUGUGGUGGUGACCCCGUGUAACACCUUCUGGUGGUGACCCCGUGUAACGCCUUCUGGUGGUGACCCUGUGUAACCCCUUGUAGAGGUGACACCGUGUAAACCCUUGUGGUGGUGACCCCGUGUAACACCUUGCGGUGGUGACCCCGUGUAACACAUUGCGGUGGUGACCCCUGUAACACCUUGUG